GACGAACGCUGGCGGCGUGCUUAACACAUGCAAGUCGAACGGAAAGGCCCUGCUUUUGUGGGGUGCUCGAGUGGCGAACGGGUGAGUAACACAUGAGUAACCUGCCCUUGACUUUGGGAUAACUUCAGGAAACUGGGGCUAAUACCGGAUAGGAGCUCCUGCUGCAUGGUGGGGGUUGGAAAGUUUCGGCGGUUGGGGAUGGACUCGCGGCUUAUCAGCUUGUUGGUGGGGUAGUGGCUUACCAAGGCUUUGACGGGUAGCCGGCCUGAGAGGGUGACCGGCCACAUUGGGACUGAGAUACGGCCCAGACUCCUACGGGAGGCAGCAGUGGGGAAUAUUGCACAAUGGGCGGAAGCCUGAUGCAGCAACGCCGCAUGCGGGAUGACGGCCUUCGGGUUGUAAACCGCUUUCGCCUGUGACGAAGCGUGAGUGACGGUAAUGGGUAAAGAAGCACCGGCUAACUACGUG
Molecule: ribosomal RNA, 468 nt
Filed under: uncultured bacterium
Lineage: Bacteria
Description: partial 16S ribosomal RNA
Rfam family: Bacterial small subunit ribosomal RNA
Source: RNAcentral